Molecule: non-coding RNA, 72 nt
Organism: Ictidomys tridecemlineatus (thirteen-lined ground squirrel)
Lineage: Eukaryota; Metazoa; Chordata; Mammalia; Rodentia; Sciuridae
Source: Rfam
GGGGUUGUGGCUCAGAGGUAGAGAGCUUGCCUAAUAUGCAGGAGGCACUGGGUUUGAUUCUCAGCAACACAU